CUUAUCAAGAGCGGUGGAGGGAACGGCCCGAUGAAGCCCGGCAACCUGUCCGUCCUGAGGGACGGGGAAGGUGCCAAAUCCGGCGAGUGGAAUCGAAAGAUGAGG
This 105-nucleotide non-coding RNA is filed under the name chicken gut metagenome. RNAcentral's name for it is "SAM riboswitch (S box leader)". It matches the Rfam family "SAM riboswitch aptamer (S box leader)". From Rfam's summary of the family: The SAM riboswitch is found upstream of a number of genes which code for proteins involved in methionine or cysteine biosynthesis in Gram-positive bacteria. The SAM riboswitch acts at the level of transcription termination control. The predicted structure consists of a complex stem-loop region followed by a single stem loop terminator region. The record is from RNAcentral.